Long non-coding RNA from Oreochromis aureus, 327 nucleotides. The record is from Ensembl. Lineage: Eukaryota; Metazoa; Chordata; Actinopteri; Cichliformes; Cichlidae.
UCAUGUUGCUGUGUGUUUCUCGGUGUGCCUUGGUUUCCUUGUGUUUUCUCAUCUCUUCUACAUCGCUGAAGAAGUGGAUGGAUUUUUUUCACAUCACUACGGUGGAAUCUCUCCACCUCCACGUCGCUGCAGCAUCAGCAGCUGAACUCUCCGAGUCCUGUUUGCCUGUUGGCUGAAAAGCUGCAGCCAGGGUUCAAAGAAAGCAGUCAUCUGGAAUAUGUGACUGACUGACAUCCACAAGAGGAUGAUGAUGGACAAAGAGGAGAACAGAGCAGAGUCCGGUGAACCUAGACCAACGAGCCUUUCCUUGGACCAUUUUCAUUUUUG